Molecule: ribosomal RNA, 468 nt
Filed under: uncultured bacterium
Lineage: Bacteria
Description: partial 16S ribosomal RNA
Rfam family: Bacterial small subunit ribosomal RNA
Source: RNAcentral
GACGAACGCUGGCGGCGUGCUUAACACAUGCAAGUCGAACGGAAAGGCCCUGCUUUUGUGGGGUGCUCGAGUGGCGAACGGGUGAGUAACACGUGAGUAACCUGCCCUUGACUUUGGGAUAACUUCAGGAAACUGGGUCUAAUACCGGAUAGGAGCUCCUGCUGCAUGGUGGGGGUUGGAAAGUUUCGGCGGUUGGGGAUGGACUCGCGGCUUAUCAGCUUGUUGGUGGGGUCGUGGCUUACCAAGGCUUUGACGGGUAGCCGGCCUGAGAGGGUGACCGGCCACAUUGGGACUGAGAUACGGCCCAGACUCCUACGGGAGGCAGCAGUGGGGAAUAUUGCACAAUGGGCGGAAGCCUGAUGCAGCAACGCCGCGUGCGGGAUGACGGCCUUCGGGUUGUAAACCGCUUUCGCCUGUGACGAAGCGUGAGUGACGGUAAUGGGUAAAGAAGCACCGGCUAACUACGUG